CAGUAGCCGCGGGAACACGGAGGGGGCUAGCGUUGUUCGGAAUUACUGGGCGUAAAGCGCACGUAGGCUGCUUUGUAAGUUAGGGGUGAAAGCCUGGUGCUCAACACCAGAACUGCCUUUAAGACUGCAGAGCUAGAACGUCGGAGAGGUGAGUGGAAUUCCGAGUGUAGAGGUGAAAUUCGUAGAUAUUCGGAAGAACACCAGUAGCGAAGGCGGCUCACUGGACGACUGUUGACGCUGAGGUGCGAAAGCGUGGGGAGCAAACAGGAUUAGAUACCCCUGUAGUCCCUGUCUCUUAUAC
Molecule: ribosomal RNA, 301 nt
Filed under: uncultured bacterium
Lineage: Bacteria
Description: partial 16S ribosomal RNA
Rfam family: Bacterial small subunit ribosomal RNA
Source: RNAcentral